GCGGAAUUCGUCCCUCUCUUUCUGUUCGGUUCUCCGUCCUCUCCUCCGUGACCUCUCCAUGGCGGCUGCGAAGGCCUCGGCGAAGGAAGACGACGCGUAGGGGCUCUUCUCCUUGGCCGACCUCGGUCUCCAAGGUCCUCCCGCCCUCACCCUCUCUGAUCCCCCGUGUCUCCGUGGCCCUGGUGAUUUGGAGCUCACCCCCAAUCUCGUCCAUGUAUGAUUUGAAGCUCACCCCCAAUCUCGUCCAUGUAUGAUUGAAGUAGAAGUUUUACAGAAGACGCAUGUUCAAACUCCACUUAUUUGUUGCAUAUGAAUAUUAAUUCAUUCUAUUGGAUUCCUGUUAUGUUAAGUACAAUUACCAUCUUCAAAUCAGAAAUUACAAUCCUCUCAUCUUCCAUAUCACCAGCUUUGAGAAAUAUUCAGCGCAAUGAUCUACAGUACUUUACAGCAAAGCAGUGUCUAGGUAUGGUAUUUCCACUAAUCUCAUGUCUUGAAGGCCCAAUACAGUUUAUUCAUCAGAAAUUAAAAAGAACGGCAGAAGCAAAGUAUUUUACAGUAGCCUUUUUGUUCACUGUACAAAACAAUGACCAGGUACACAUAGUUAAUAUUCGUUUGAAAGAACACCAGAUUCACUUGAAAAACUGAUUGAAUCUUACUUAUCAUCAUGUGUUUCAUUAGGUUUCCAUUUGGAUAUAGCAUAAAUUACUCUCCCUUUCCAUCCUUGCAGUAGCCAACCACCAUCUUCAACAGCAAAUAAUUCCUCAUGAUAAAGUGUGUUCUUCUUUUGUACUAUUUUGUUUAAGAUGGCUGGAUCAACAGGAAGCUGCUGGAACCCAGCCUUGAGGAACCUUGCUUGCCACUGCCUGUAACUUUCCCGCCUCUCGGUCCAUUCUGCAUCCUCACAUGCUAUGCUGUUGAGUGCAUCCCGCCCAAAGAGGAUCCUCUCGAUCGUCUUUCUUGCUUCAUUUUCCCGUGGAACAUUUGCAUCCAUCAUGUCAAACAUUGAAGAGUAAUGGAACAUAACCUCUUUGAAACGUUGUAUGAAGAAGGGAGAACUGCGUAACCCAUUCACGGUGCCAGAAAUAAAAAUCUUUGGGUUCAUCCUCCUCAUAGUUUUGAGCACCUCGUCCCUUGUGCUAUUUAUGGCUUUGGUUUCAUGACCGAGAUUCUUCAUCCGGAACAUGCAGUUGAUUAUGAGGACUUCACCCUCCUCAAUGUUAAGAUCCUCAAUUUUAAUGGUCUCCCAUCUUGAAGCGGCAAUGCCCUGAUACUGAAAAGGUACCUUGAACAUGUUUGCAUAAUCAGCCAACCGUUUCCCUGUCUCCUUGAUCAUUUCGCAUGGGCGUAAGCCUGGCUGGGGAACGUCUAUACCUGUGAUCCGAAGCUUAGGGGCUCCCUCUUCUUGCUUUGCAAACCUCUGAAUCAUUAAUGGCCUCUGAAAGCCGAAGCCGAUGCCGAAAUCAAUGAUGUGCACUCUUGGAUGCCCUUGUGAGACAUCAAGAAUAGCUUGGUUGGCAAAGUGGUAUGACGCCCUGUCGAAAGGGCAAGAUGCAAUAAAAAGACUGUAAGCCUCUAACCAGUCUGUGGUACUUGUUCGCCUUUCCAUGAGAUUUUGAUAAACCUGACUCCUGGUCCCAGCCAAGUGUGCCUCGAGGCCAUCCACCAAGUAAAAUGCCAGUCUCUGGGUACAAGUACCAUCUGGUGAGGAGUGUUGCCCUAUCUUCUUUAGGAUUUCACUGGCCAACAGGUGGUUGCCUUCUGCCACAGCUUCUGCGCAAUUGAUGAGGAGAUUCCUGAGAUCAACCAACUCUCUCCUCGGUUGCUUCCUCUGCCAUAGCUUCAGACGUCCUUUGCUCCGGCCUUUCAGUGAGUUAUUGUUUCCUUCCCCUGCCAUCCUUUCUCGCAGUCUUGUUCUCCGGUCGAAACUCUUCCGACCAUAGCAUAGCAGAACUCGGUCGAAAUUUUCGUUUCGAAUUAUGGCACAAGUUGUGAUGGCAUGAUGUGUAUUGCUCCUAUCUUGAAAGAUAUCCCAGCCCCUUUGGUCUGCCACCUCAAAGAUUGCAUUUUCGCUCCUCUCUACUACUUUUACCUUCGUAGUCAGUUGGGAAAUAUAAAGUACGUCAUUCUUUAAAUAUAUCACCAGCUUAUCAAUACUUGGAGCACACAUUUUUUCCUCCUCAACACCUCUCUGACAAUGCAAGGCAGGGAAGCCAGAUUUGGAAGUCCAUCCAACACUUACCAAUGGAUGGUCUGGUAGAAAAAGACUCCUGUUGCAGGUAUAUGGACUCAACGGGGUUGCUAAGGGCUGUAACACAUUGUAACUGGAAUAGUCAUUACUGAAGCUAGUGGUCCUGAGCCUCUUGUAACGGCUGGUCCCACUCUUAUCAGCGUUGUCUGGUUUGUUGUUUCUAUGCAAUGGCGGCCAGUCAGUAGCUGAUGCGUACACCUCCCCAAGAAUGUCACGGAAUGGCUUCUCAGCGGCCUGGAGGGCAGUCUCCCCUUGGCAUACGUCGACCCCCUCGUCGACGUCUUCCAUCAGCAUCUGACUUAUGUAGUGAAGAGCAUUGUUUGAUCUGAUCUGGUGGUGCUCAGGGCUACGCCCUGCAGCAAUCUGAACUUGGUUUUGUCCAGGGCUGCUGUUGACGCUGCACAACCCAGGGCUGGUGACUCCACCAAGCAGAUAUGUGCUUGGUUGGUUGGCUGGGUUAAGAACUGUGGAGUGUGGACUACUCAGGUCGUAGUUGUACAUGGUGAGUUGCUGCUCGGAAGAGGAAUCACCAUCGUAUGGUUGGUCGGUUGCUGCGAUGCCGUCCAGAUUGUCACGGAGAGGUUCAAUCGCCAUUCUGGAAAGUCUGCUUUCCACCUCAAUAUGAGAUAUAUGAUUCUUCUUUGGCCCGCAGCAAAUGCAUCAGCUUGUUUCCUGGAAGAUGGAAGCUAAAUUAGGAAAUUAUGUGAGACGACCGUCCACCUUGCUCAUGUGCUACAAUCUAGAAUGCCCAUUGUUGAUCAACCCAGUCUACAGGGUGUUGUAUGCUAGGCUUUCUCCGGUCCAAAAGGCUGAGGCGGAGAAAGAGCAUUAGGCUUUAGCUAGUAGAAAGGCUGAGGUGGAGAAGUAGUGUUAGGCUUUAGCUAGUAAAAAGGCUGAGCUGAACGGCAGCAGGAAGUUUCCUAGUACUGUAGAUAGGAAUGUGCUAUGCAUGUUCAUAGUAGUAGCACCGUAAGUGUCAUCCGGGUCCUAUAAAAGGAGCUGCUCCCCAUCGGUUGUAAGCAGGGCAAAUAGCAAUCAAAGUGAAGUAGCAUUACCACUACCACGAGCCUCACUCCGUAGUAGUACGUGAGCAUCUCCAAGUGAGUGUGUGUGAGCGUUGCUUGUGUCGUGCUAGCUUGCACUAGCUGCUACUUAGGCUGUUUUUUUUGCUCUCCUAGCUCAGUGUGCAGCUGCAGAUUAUUUUGGUAACUCUGUUAGUGUACAAGAAGAGAGCUAGUCAGUAGUUUUGGGCAACACCUGUAAACCGGAAUUCUGCUUCCCUCACCCUCUACUUCUUGCUGUUUAUUAGAUAUUCAGCUUAUGAUUGUUUUGACAUGCCAUCAGUGGCGGAGCUUCACAAGGUUCAAUGUGUGUGUGUGUGUGGUGGGGGGGUAAUGCUGUCCCAUAAAAAUUUUCUUCAGUAAUUUACCCAAACCUGGGAGGGCGGUGGCCCCUGCAGGGUUGCACUAAACUCCGCCAGUGCAUGCCAUACUGAUUGGAAAAGAAAACUGAAGACUUGCACACACAAGAACAUUAUUUUACCCAGUUAAACAUAGAAUGUUUAAUUCACAUCAAUAACAGAAACAUCACACCUAGCGAUUUGUGAAUCUACGACAAGCCUAAUACCACUGUUCAUAUUAUUUAUUUGCAGGAAGCUCCUCAUCUGAUCGAAGCAAGUAGCAAAAGCAGGGAAGCACACACCUUGGUUAUUGAGCAGCAUCCGAUCCAAUGCUUUGAGAGGAGUAAUGAGGAUGUGGGCUAUGAAAGAAGAGUAGUGAGGCUGUGGUGUAGAUUUAUACCGUAUUUUUGUUGUUCCUCUACCUUGUUGCUUCGUUCCCAACGUCCGCCAUGGUUAUCUCUACUCCUAAUGUCUCAGUUGGUAGUCUCUGUUCCGGUUUUAUUUUCG
RNAcentral lists this long non-coding RNA (4154 nucleotides) under Triticum aestivum (bread wheat). Its description in RNAcentral is "long non-coding RNA (TAES_LNC012995)". Lineage: Eukaryota; Viridiplantae; Streptophyta; Magnoliopsida; Poales; Poaceae. The record is from RNAcentral.